UCGUAGGAAAUCUACCUUAUAGAGGGGGAUAACCUGGGGAAACUCGGGCUAAUACCGCAUAAUCUCUUUGGAGCAAAGCGGGGGAUCUUCGGACCUCGUGCUAUAAGAUGAGCCUACGUCGGAUUAGCUUGUUGGUGGGGUAAUGGCCUACCAAGGCGACGAUCCGUAGCUGGUCUGAGAGGACGAUCAGCCACACUGGGACUGAGACACGGCCCAGACUCCUACGGGAGGCAGCAGUGGGGAAUAUUGGACAAUGGGGGAAACCCUGAUCCAGCAAUGCCGCGUGUGUGAAGAAGGCCUUCGGGUUGUAAAGCACUUUCGGUGGGGAAGAAAUUCUCAAGGGUAAUAUCCUUGGGCGUUGACGUUACCCACAGAAGAAGCACUGGCUAACUCUGUGCCAGCAGCCGCGGUAAUACAGAGAGUGCAAGCGUUAAUCGGAAUCACUGGGCCGCGCGUAGGUGGAUAUUUAAGUCGGAUGUGAAAGCCCUGGGCUUAACCUGGGAAUUGCACCCGAUACUGGGUAUCUUGAGUAUGGUAGAGGGAAGUGGAAUUUCCGGUGUAGCGGUGAAAUGCGUAGAUAUCGGAAAGAACACCAGUGGCGAAGGCGACUUCCUGGACCAAUACUGACACUGAGGCGCGAAAGCGUGGGGAGCAAACAGGAUUAGAGACCCUGGUAGUCCACGCCGUCAACGAUGAGAACUAGCUG
This 706-nucleotide ribosomal RNA is filed under the name uncultured Coxiella sp. RNAcentral's name for it is "bacterial SSU rRNA". It matches the Rfam family "Bacterial small subunit ribosomal RNA", at positions 115 to 822 of the family's 1533-position model. The record is from RNAcentral. Lineage: Bacteria; Pseudomonadati; Pseudomonadota; Gammaproteobacteria; Legionellales; Coxiellaceae.